Molecule: ribosomal RNA, 299 nt
Filed under: uncultured bacterium
Lineage: Bacteria
Description: partial 16S ribosomal RNA
Rfam family: Bacterial small subunit ribosomal RNA
Source: RNAcentral
AACGAACGCUGGCGGCAUGCCUAACACAUGCAAGUCGAACGAGACCUUCGGGUCUAGUGGCGCACGGGUGCGUAACACGUGGGAAUUUGCCUCGGGGUAUGGAAUAACUCAGGGAAACUUGAGCUAAUACCAUAUAAUGUCUUCGGACCAAAGAUUUAUCGCCCUGAGAUAAGCCCGCGUAGGAUUAGCUAGUUGGUGAGGUAAAGGCUCACCAAGGCGACGAUCCUUAGCUGGUCUGAGAGGAUGAUCAGCCACACUGGGACUGAGACACGGCCCAGACUCCUACGGGAGGCAGCAGU